This 72-nucleotide transfer RNA is filed under the name Perkinsus olseni. It matches the Rfam family "tRNA". From Rfam's summary of the family: Transfer RNA (tRNA) molecules are approximately 80 nucleotides in length. Their secondary structure includes four short double-helical elements and three loops (D, anti-codon, and T loops). Lineage: Eukaryota; Perkinsozoa; Perkinsida; Perkinsidae. The record is from Rfam by way of RNAcentral.
GGGCGCGUAGCUGUGCGGUAGAGCGGAUGAUUGCAGAUCAGCAGGUCCGCGGUUCAAAUCUGGGCGCGCCCU